Molecule: unclassified non-coding RNA, 386 nt
Filed under: soil metagenome
Description: partial contains 5.8S ribosomal RNA, internal transcribed spacer 2, and large subunit ribosomal RNA
Rfam family: 5.8S ribosomal RNA (bases 1-120)
Source: RNAcentral
GAUGAAGAACGCAGCGAAAUGCGAUAAGUAAUGUGAAUUGCAGAAUUCAGUGAAUCAUCGAAUCUUUGAACGCACCUUGCGCUCCUUGGUAUUCCGAGGAGCAUGCCUGUUUGAGUGUCAUGAAAUUCUCAACCUUUUCAGCUUUCUUUGUUGAUCAGGCUUGGAUGUGGGAGUAUGCGGGCUUCUCAGAAGUCGGCUCUCCUGAAAUGCAUUAGCGGGACCUUUGUUGCCUGGCUUUGGUGUGAUAAUUAUCUACGCCAUUGUAGUCAAGCAGCUUAAAAUGAGGUUUCAGCUUCUAACCGUCUCCCCUGAGACAACUUUUUGACAAUUUGACCUCAAAUCAGGUAGGACUACCCGCUGAACUUAAGCAUAUCAAUAAGCGAGGA